Molecule: long non-coding RNA, 360 nt
Organism: Suncus etruscus (white-toothed pygmy shrew)
Lineage: Eukaryota; Metazoa; Chordata; Mammalia; Eulipotyphla; Soricidae
Exons: 2
Source: RefSeq, a predicted model, not a curated record
AAGGGAAAGGAGAGGGAGAGGCCGUGCGGGCAGGUGGGGAGGUGGCUGCGGGCACCGGCAGAGUCCUUCCUGUUAUUAUCCCAGCGAAGAGGUCAAGAAACAGAAGCUAAAGAACUGCUCUCAGAGCUCUCAGCAAGUGACAUGAAGUUUGGACAUCAGGGACAGCCUAAGUGACAACAAAAUCCAGUGGAUUUCAAAUACAUCACUCACUGCCACAAUUUUCAGAAGUCCUCCCCAGGUUGGUCUGAGCCAUUCGAAAUAACUGCACACAAAGUAAUGACGGUGGGGGUGGUGUGGGAGUGCAGGUUGAAGUUAUAUAGUUUCUAGGGUCCCCUGCAAAAUAAAUUGUCUUGAAAUUCA